GAUGAAGAACGUAGUGAAAUGCGAUAAGUAGUGUGAAUUGCAGAAUUCAGUGAAUCAUCGAAUCUUUGAACGCACAUUGCGCCCCUUGGUAUUCCGAGGGGCAUGCCUGUUCGAGCGUCAUUAUAACCCUCAAGCUCAGCUUGGUGUUGGGGCCUGCUGCACUGGCAGCCCUUAAAAUCAGUGGCGGCGCCAUCUGGCUCUAAGCGUAGUAAUUCUUCUCGCUAUGGAGUCCUGGUGGAUGCUUGCCAUCAACCCCCAAUUUUUCUAUGGUUGACCUCGGAUCAGGUAGGGAUACCCGCUGAACUUAAGCAUAUCAAUAAGCGGAGGA
Molecule: unclassified non-coding RNA, 328 nt
Filed under: soil metagenome
Description: partial contains 5.8S ribosomal RNA, internal transcribed spacer 2, and large subunit ribosomal RNA
Rfam family: 5.8S ribosomal RNA (bases 1-120)
Source: RNAcentral